Molecule: unclassified non-coding RNA, 298 nt
Filed under: uncultured fungus
Lineage: Eukaryota; Fungi
Description: sequence contains ITS1
Rfam family: 5.8S ribosomal RNA (bases 1-105)
Source: RNAcentral
GAAAUGCGAAAAGUAGUGUGAAUUGCAGAAUUCAGUGAAUCAUCGAAUCUUUGAACGCACAUUGCGCCCCUUGGUAUUCCAUGGGGCAUGCCUGUUCGAGCGUCAUUUUGUACAAUCAAGCACUGCUUGGUGUUGGGCGUUUGUCUCGCAAGGGACUCGCCUCAAAGUCAUUGGCGGCCAACGCAGUCGUGGCAGAGCGCAGCACAAUCUUGCGUCUCUCCCUUCAGUGUCGGCGUCCAUCAAGCCUACCAUUUUCACGCUUGACCUCGGAUCAGGUAGGGAUACCCGCUGAACUUAA